AUUGAACGCUGGCGGCAUGCCUUACACAUGCAAGUCGAACGGCAGCACGGGAGCAAUCCUGGUGGCGAGUGGCGAACGGGUGAGUAAAGUAUCGGAACGUGCCCAGUCGUGGGGGAUAACGUAGCGAAAGUUACGCUAAUACCGCAUACGAUCUAUGGAUGAAAGCGGGGGAUCGCAAGACCUCGCGCGAUUGGAGCGGCCGAUAUCAGAUUAGGUAGUUGGUGGGGUAAAGGCUCACCAAGCCGACGAUCUGUAGCUGGUCUGAGAGGACGACCAGCCAAACUGGGACUGAGACACGGCCCAGACUCCUACGGGAGGCAGCAGUGGGGAAUUUUGGACAAUGGGCGAAAGCCUGAUCCAGCCAUGCCGCGUGCAGGAUGAAGGCCUUCGGGUUGUAAACUGCUUUUGUACGGAACGAAAAGGUUUGGCCUAAUAAGCUGAGCUCAUGACGGUACCGUAAGAAUAAGCGCCGGCUAACUACGUGCCAGCAGCCGCCGUAA
Molecule: ribosomal RNA, 500 nt
Filed under: uncultured bacterium
Lineage: Bacteria
Description: partial 16S ribosomal RNA
Rfam family: Bacterial small subunit ribosomal RNA
Source: RNAcentral